UAAGAAAACACGGAGCUUAUUGCUUUCCUCAAAGAACUUCCUCCGGUAGAGUUCUGCUGCAUAUAUGGUUCGACUCUGCAUCCAAAUAAUCACGAUAAGUCAAAAAUGGUUGACCUUAUUCUUGGCGUAUCUGAUCCUCAAAAAUGGCACGAAAAGAAUAUUCGAUUAAACAAAGACACUAUGCCUCAUGGAUGGUGUACCUUGGAGGGGGG
Molecule: long non-coding RNA, 212 nt
Organism: Cucumis sativus (cucumber)
Lineage: Eukaryota; Viridiplantae; Streptophyta; Magnoliopsida; Cucurbitales; Cucurbitaceae
Exons: 3
Source: RefSeq, a predicted model, not a curated record